GUCGUCGUGGUGUAGUUGGUUAUCACAUUCGCCUCACAUCUGCAGGCUUCGAGCCCCGCAUGUGCGUCCGCGAAAGGUCUCCAGUUCGAUCCUGGACGACGACA
RNAcentral lists this transfer RNA (104 nucleotides) under Chlamydomonas reinhardtii. RNAcentral's name for it is "tRNA tRNA-Val". The record is from RNAcentral. Lineage: Eukaryota; Viridiplantae; Chlorophyta; Chlorophyceae; Chlamydomonadales; Chlamydomonadaceae.